This 465-nucleotide ribosomal RNA is filed under the name uncultured bacterium. RNAcentral describes it as "partial 16S ribosomal RNA". It matches the Rfam family "Bacterial small subunit ribosomal RNA", at positions 338 to 795 of the family's 1533-position model. The record is from RNAcentral.
CCUACGGGAGGCUGCAGUAGGGAAUCUUCCACAAUGGACGAAAGUCUGAUGGAGCAACGCCGCGUGAGUGAAGAAGGGGGGCGGAGUGUAAAGAGAGGGGGGGAGGGAAGAAAGAGAGAGGUAGUAACUGGCCUUUAUUUGACGGUAAUUACUUAGAAAGUCACGGCUAACUACGUGCCAGCAGCCGCGGUAAUACGUAGGUGGCAAGCGUUGUCCGGAUUUAUUGGGCGUAAAGCGAGUGCAGGCGGUUCAAUAAGUCUGAUGUGAAAGCCUUCGGCUCAACCGGAGAAUUGCAUCAGAAACUGUUGAACGUGAGUGCAGAAGAGGAGAGUGGAACUCCAUGUGUAGCGGUGGAAUGCGUAGAUAUAUGGAAGAACACCAGUGGCGAAGGCGGCUCUCUGGUCUGCAACUGACGCUGAGGCUCGAAAGCAUGGGUAGCGAACAGGAUUAUCUCCCCUUGUAGUC